AGAAUAACCCCCUGCCCUCGACAUUGUGCACUUUCUUUAUUAAUCAGAGUGAGACUCUGAGGUCUGAAGUAGACUUUGUGUACUUGGGAGAGAGCCCAAGAAAUCACUCAAAAUUUCUCUACCUUGUGAAUUACUUUCACAAGUGACAAUUUAGAAGCAGACAAACCCGGCCUACUCUAAGGGGGUUAAGGAGAGAGGAUAAGGAGAGAAACUCUUAAAGAAGACUGCAACAGAGGAAGCAGAAGGUGUUCUCGUCUGUGUUUCAGUGUUGCUUUGUUCUCCAGUCAUGAGAGCUACAUCAUAAAUCAUCUGUCUGUUGUGCCCAUUGGAUGAUGAGCUCCCAGAGGGCAAGAACUGUACUCUGCUGUGUACUGUCUUCACCAUGAGAGGCUGUGUAGAAAAAAGAAUGUGGGAACUUAAUAGGUAGAACCAAAUUAUAAUAUAGGAAACAUAGCAUCAUAUUUAAUCAUUUUGGGGUAAUAAUUCUGUUUUGGUUAUUAUAUUCACUGCCUCUCAACAAAUUUGGGCCAUCC
RNAcentral lists this long non-coding RNA (533 nucleotides) under Mustela putorius furo (domestic ferret). Its description in RNAcentral is "lncRNA (ENSMPUG00000029191.1)". The record is from RNAcentral. Lineage: Eukaryota; Metazoa; Chordata; Mammalia; Carnivora; Mustelidae.